This is a long non-coding RNA of Brienomyrus brachyistius, 3169 nucleotides long. RefSeq lists it as uncharacterized. The transcript has 3 exons. The record is from RefSeq and is a predicted model, not a curated record. Lineage: Eukaryota; Metazoa; Chordata; Actinopteri; Osteoglossiformes; Mormyridae.
AUUAAAGUGAGAUUUACACCGUAUGAUUAUCCAGGGUGUUGAAAUUGUGGUCAUUGACAAGCCGCAUUACAAUCAGGACAUGAAACCGUAUGACUAACCCGUACAGGCAUUAAACACGGGCAAGGUUCUUAUCAAUGAAUAAAUGCAUGCGUGAAUACGCGCACUGAUAGCCUGAACGGUAACCUUAUUCCCUUUUCCCGUGGAUUAUUUCAAAACAUGUGCAGAAAAAGACGGAGCGUCGCAAGCACGCACAAAGAAAGCGGUCGGAAGGCUGAAGUUUUGACAAAAGCUUGGUUUAAGUAAAGAAGGUGAAAUGGGGAUCGGCGUUGUCAGAACUGACCGCUAACAUCCAGGCGGAUAAACGCGUGGGGCCAACGGCAGUUUCAUCGAUUCUCACCUGAAUUCUCACUUUUACUUGUCAUCCCGCAGCACCCCAAACGGCUGCGCGGACCAGAGAGCGUUGCAAGGAUGUCCGACGGGCACGUCCUGCACCUCUUGUCCCCUGAGCCGAAUCGUACCCAGAAAAGGAUAUAUUUGAGCAGAGAAGAAGAAGAGAGGAAGAAGAAAAGAAGAAGAGAAGAAGAAGAGAAGAAGUGAAAAAGCAGCUUUUGGAGAGAUUCGGUCUUUUCCUCUCAGCUUGACAAUCUUCAAGUUAAACGGAGCUAAAUCUCUAAGAGCAGAGAUGUACAGUUUUAUUGGCAACUUGGCUGGAACUUGACUUUACUUCAAGGGAUGCCAGCGAUAAAAGUAAAUACACAUACGUAUCCAUCUGGAUUAUUUCUGCAACCUCAGACCUCGUUCCAAGCAAAAAAACCUGUCUGUUAAUGUUGAAAUCUUACAUAAAUAUGGGCGAUGCAACUUAAUGCAUCUUAAAAGAAGAGAAAAUAAUUCCAUGUCAAUAUAAGAUUUGUGACCGAUAAAGCAAAAACCAGUGCAAUUUUUUUAACUUAACACUGGGGUGAAAUCGUACACCUGGGUAAUUUUUUUAACACACCCAAAAGAUGGUAUUAAUUUAGGUCUUUGAAAUCACAGCAUAUUUAUAUCUGUGUAUUUCCAUGUCGUCUUUGCCAUAUACAGACGCUCCUCUACUUACAAACUUUCAGACAUACGAACGAAGAGGACUGUAAAUCCAAAUUGUGUUCAUUGGUCUCCCGUUUCCUGUCCGCAGCAUCAGUUAUUUUUCUGAGCACCAAUUCCGCCGAGUACGACUUCUGGCUGCUACUCCCGCCGCGCAGCAGUGUAGCGUGCGUACUCCCAGCAUCCUAGUUCUUUGUACUUGCCUAUACCCUUAAAAUGAUGUUGAAUAACGACUUACGAACAUUUCAAGUUACGAACGUCCGUUCAGAUCGUAUCUCAUUCGUAAGUAGAGGAGCGUCUGUACAUCCGUUUUCAGAACUGGACAUAAAUAUUCCUUCAUAAAUGUGUAUGAAGCAAUAAAAACAUAUUUCACUACUGAUCAUUGACUGUGUUUUUGUAUUAAUCUGGUCUGAGCCUACACCCAGCGGCCCUGCUGCCGUGGCGACAUGAGCGAAAGUGGCCUAUGUGGCUGAUUCAUCAGUUCCACCUCUAGAAAGAAGGGUGGUCAGGCAAGACCCGACGAGACGAGUGCCUAACUGAGUCUGGGGAUGAUCGGAAACAGAUGAGACCUGCUGUGACCACUACUGCCCCGCCGUCACACACACACGCACACACACACACACACGUGUUUGCACACACCAAAGCAGUGGAUGAAGAGAGUGAGUAACACUCAGAGCCCAGGCAGUGAUAGGGAGAGCAGAAAUAGGAAGCCAUGUUAUGGCAACAGGCCUGUAAAUGUAUAAACAGUCCACAGGAUAUGAGUGACACUUCACAAACAUCUGGUUCGGUGAUAAAUCUGACAUUUUACUUUGUGCCGGGAUAUCGACGCCAGGAGUGAGAUCCAGCGAGAGGCAGAAAAUAAACAAGCCAGCCUGGAGAGUGGGAGAAGAGUGGGAGAGAGGAGUCGCCAUUAAUGGGAAACACUCCCCGUUGUGAGGCUGCGUGUAACUGUAGCCAUUUAUUUAACAUUUCUGGUGUUUCCACCAUGCUGAGAUUAGACACAAUCUCAGCAGAUUACGUGUGGGUGUAUAUAUGUAACACGGCGCGGUUUAUAUGCAGGUCAUGUGAUGUGUGACCUAUAAAGUUCAUUUAACACCAUACUUGGUUAGUUGUACCUGUUACCCAAAGAGUGAAGGUACGGAAGUGAAUUAGUGCGAAGUGGCAGCACUUUUGAAGGAUCUGAAAUGGGCAUUAAUGGAAUCCACCCCCCCCCCAAAACACACACAUGCACACACACACUCGCUGUCCCCCUGCCCAUCCCUGCUCCUGAGCGAUCGGGUUUCCACGUUCGGCCCAUCAGCUGAACACUCGGCUCUUGAUCAAUGGCAGGAAACCAGAGGAUCCAAUGUUAGUACAUCAGAGAAUGAUAUCCACCCCCAAGAACACAAUCACACACACACACACACAGAAACACUUCUGCAAGUCUUACGUCACCUCAUAGUGCCUUUACAGUAUAUUUGUUUUAUCAAGGCUCUGAUUAAUUACAUCUAAAUGCAGUAAUAUAAACGUAACUUUAAAAAAUAGUGAAUCUUGUAAUGGGUCACCACCCUGCCUUGGGUUCCUUCCUGUGUUAUGCCCAUGGCUUCUGGGAUAGGGUCUGGAACAUCACAAGCCUGCAUAAGGCAAGCAGAUAUGGAAAACAGAUGAAUAGAUACAGUAAAUAACAAUCAGCAAGUGUUGCCGUUCUUCCUCAUUCAGUGACUCGGCCGGGAAACAGUGGAUUUUUUGCCAAAUUGUGAGUCGGGUUGUUGAAUUUUUGAAAAUGAGUGCUUACAUAUAGUGAAAAUCAAUGUUGUGCUUCUGUAUCCUGGGUUCUGUUGCUGACAGAAUCUUUAUGAGUAUUAAUUAAGAUCAUGCGUAUCUGAUGUGUGAAAAGCUCGACAUUGUUAUUGAGUCUUGAAUCUUUUUUUUUCUGCUGUGGAAGAGAGAUCAGCCUCAAACGUAGUGGGGGGAAACGGUGAAUAGGGUCAUGCUGUGACCUCGUUCGUUUUAAAUUCCUUCCACUUCACUGUACCUGGAGUCAAACUCAAGGUAGAGAUGUUGGGAUCGGUUUAAUGUGCAUUAUUAUUAUUACUUACGCAUGCUCUCUGUU